Molecule: non-coding RNA, 2283 nt
Organism: Macaca mulatta (Rhesus monkey)
Lineage: Eukaryota; Metazoa; Chordata; Mammalia; Primates; Cercopithecidae
Source: RefSeq, a predicted model, not a curated record
GGUUUUUGUUCUUUAUAUAUGAAUACAGUGCAUAGCACUAGUUGUAUGUUGAACCAAAUUUUGCUUUCCUGAGGUAAAUACCCUUGAUAUAGCAUACAAUACUUUUUACAUGUUUCUGCUUUGUUUUACUAAUAUUUCCUUGAUGAUUUUUGUCCCUGUAUUCAUAAGGUAUAUUGUUCUUCAUUUUCCCUAUUUGAAGUGUCUUUGUCUGGCUGCAGUAUCAGGGUAAACUAACUCAGUAUACAAUGGGAAAUCAUGUUUUCUCCACUUUUUUUGGAAUAAUUGUAAUGAAAUAGUAUUAAUUUUUUUAAAUGAUUAUAAUAAUUCACUGAUGAAUUUUCUUGAUGAGGUCAGAGAGGUUAAUCCUAAGAAUAGUUACAUGAGCUUGGAAGGAGACCCUUCCCCAGCUGAGCCUUAGCCUGGGCCAUCACCUACAUCUGGACUGAAGACCCAGAGAAACUACUCCAUCAGGAAUUGUCCGGGACCAUGCCUUCUAUUGCCCACUGCCAGCCCGAAAGCCACCAAGGUAGCAGUACUCCCGUGAACCAUGUCUGAGUGGAGUAAUGAUGGCACCACAGUCCAGCCUGCAUGGGUGUUGGCCUGAGUGCUCCCGCCUCAUGAAAUUCAGCCACCUCUUUCUCCAGUCAGUUCCAUCUUCUCAACUCCGACUGUCUUCCAGAGUCCGUGUCACACCACAGCCUGGAAACUCUUCCCCAAGCAGUAACCUGAAGCAACAUUACUCCAUCAUUACUGUACCACCGCCUAUAUGGAUGUAGUUGUCAGUGUGAAGCUGAGUAAGGAACAACGUGCAUCAGACUCAGAGAAAAAUGGACAAGCGAGCUGGCCUUUGUAUCACUAAAGGGAAGGGUUUGGAAUAAUUCAUCAGUGUAAUCUUCUCAACCUGGUCAAUCACAUGAACUUCGAAGAUGAUUCCUCCCCAGCUGAUCCUUCAGGCCUCUCUGGAUGGUGGCUAUAACCUAUAGCCUUGCCCAGUACGACUCAGGGUUUGGUACUGGAUGUGCCUUUCAUGGGAUGCUUGCUUAUCCUGAUCGAUGGCCUAAAGCCGAACUGUCCAGCUUACAUCCGGGUAUCCUUCUCAGAGAGUACUUGUUUAUAGUGUAAGACACCCUGUGGCUCCUGUCUGACCUGUAUCUAGUUUAUUUCUACCAAGGUAACCACUCUUUAGGAGAGUGCUAAGUGGGAGAAAAGUGAUGUCCAUGUGUGUUCGUCAAGUGAAAUACAGAGGAGGCAACUCAACACAAUGUGUAUAAUGGCGUUAGUAAUGUAUUACUAAUCAAUCCCAGUAAGAAGAGGCCAGCAUUCCUUGAAGUACCAAUGAAAAGAGAAGAGCUCUCCAGGCCACACUCUCAUAAGCAGCAGGGGUGGUUGAGGAGGAACUAGAGAAAGACAUGCUAUUGCCCCAUUUGUCUGAAGUCUUUAUGGGUGUAUUUGUCAGGUUUUUUUUCCAGCGAGACAGAACUACAGGGAGGUAGAUAGGUAGGUAGGUAGGUAGAUAGAAACGUAGAUGGAGAGUUGAUAGAUAGACAAUAGUUAGAUGAAUGGCAUUUUGUUUGGGGAUUUACUCGUGUAACAUUGUAGAGAUGGAGAAUUCCCAAGACAGCCAUCUGCAAGUUUAAGGACCUUGGAUGCUGUAGCGUGAUGGCUCAGUCCAAAGCUGAAAUCUUCAGAACCAGGGAAGCUCUUGGUGUAAUUCUCAGUUUGGGACCAAAGGCCUGAGAAUCCACGGACUGUGUAUAACUUCUGGAGUUUCAAGGUCAUAGAUUAUGGAGUUGUAUUUUCCAAGGGCAGGAAACGGAGUAUACUUUCUCCUGGAGAGAGACCGGAAAACUUUUUAAAUUUUUUCGUUUUUGGUUCUAUUUGGUCCCCAAGGAGAUUGUAUGCUGCCUUCCCUCAUUGAGGGUGGAUUUUUCCCACUAAAUUCCCUGACUCAUACCAACCUCCUCUGAAAACACCCUGGCAGAAACACCCAGAAGUAUGCUUUACCAAUUCUCUAGGUAUUCUUUAAUCCAGUCAGCACCUUAAAUUAACCAUGACAAGUCCAGCACCUUUCUAGUUGGCACCUAUAUGUAUCACCUUAAGCCAUAACUAAUCUUUAGAUACAGACAAUAACAAGGCAAUAGUUCUACCUAACAUGAUGCAACCAUCCUGUGUGCAACCAAAACACACUAUACUAUUUGUCUUAAGAGCAGUGGAAGUUUGUGGGUGAUGUUUACUCUUCUCCUGAUACCCCAUAACUUCAAUACAAGUAUGUUAAAUUGCUAA